Molecule: ribosomal RNA, 609 nt
Filed under: uncultured bacterium
Lineage: Bacteria
Description: bacterial SSU rRNA
Rfam family: Bacterial small subunit ribosomal RNA
Source: RNAcentral
GAACGGGUGAGUAAUAUAUCGGAACGUACCCUAGAGUGGGGGGUAACGUAGCGAAAGUUACGCUAAUACCGAUACGAUCUAAGGAUGAAAGUGGGGGCUUCGCAAGAACCUCAUGCUCGUGGAGCGGCCGAUAUCUGAUUAGCUAGUUGGUAGGGUAAAAGCCUACCAAGGCAUCGAUCAGUAGCUGGUCUGAGAGGACGACCAGCCACACUGGGACUGAGACACGGCCCAGACUCCUACGGGAGGCAGCAGUGGGGAAUUUUGGACAAUGGGCGCAAGCCUGAUCCAGCAAUGCCGCGUGAGUGAAGAAGGCCUUCGGGUUGUAAAGCUCUUUUGUCAGGGAAGAAACGGUGUUUUCUAAUACAGAAUGCUAAUGACGGUACCUGAAGAAUAAGCACCGGCUAACUACGUGCCAGCAGCCGCGGUAAUACGUAGGGUGCAAGCGUUAAUCGGAAUUACUGGGCGUAAAGCGUGCGCAGGCGGUUUUGUAAGUCUGUCGUGAAAUCCCCGGGCUCAACCUGGGAAUGGCGAUGGAGACUGCAAGGCUAGAAUCUGGCAGAGGGGGGUAGAAUUCCACGUGUAGCAGUGAAAUGCGUAGAUAUGUUGGAG